RNAcentral lists this ribosomal RNA (253 nucleotides) under uncultured bacterium. Its description in RNAcentral is "partial 16S ribosomal RNA". It matches the Rfam family "Bacterial small subunit ribosomal RNA", at positions 524 to 776 of the family's 1533-position model. The record is from RNAcentral.
UACAGAGGGUGCAAGCGUUAAUCGGAAUUACUGGGCGUAAAGGGUGCGUAGGUGGUUUGAUAAGUUAGGUGUGAAAGUCCCGGGCUUAACCUGGGGAUUGCGCCUGAUACUGUCAGACUAGAGUACUGUAGAGGAAAGUGGAAUUCCCAGUGUAGAGGUGAAAUUCGUAGAUAUUGGGAAGAACACCAGUGGCGAAGGCGGCUAUCUGGCCCGUUAUUGACGCUGAGGCGCGAAAGCGUGGGGAGCAAACAGG